This 510-nucleotide ribosomal RNA is filed under the name uncultured bacterium. Its description in RNAcentral is "bacterial SSU rRNA". It matches the Rfam family "Bacterial small subunit ribosomal RNA", at positions 28 to 533 of the family's 1533-position model. The record is from RNAcentral.
GACGAACGCUGGCGGCGUGCCUAACACAUGCAAGUCGAGCGGAGUCGAUCGACGGAAGCCUUCGGGCGGAAGAUGGUUGACUUAGCGGCGGAUGGGUGAGUAACGCGUGGGCAACCUGCCUCGAAGACCGGGAUAACAGCCCGAAAGGGCUGCUAAUACCGGAUGUGGUCAAGGAUCCGCAUGGAUUUUUGAUUAAAGGGGAAACCCGUUUCGAGAUGGGCCCGCGUCCUAUCAGCUAGUUGGUGAGGUAAAAGCUCACCAAGGCGACGACGGGUAGCCGGCCUGAGAGGGUGACCGGCCACACUGGAACUGAGACACGGUCCAGACUCCUACGGGGGGCAGCAGUGGGGAAUCUUCCACAAUGGGCGAAAGCCUGAUGGAGCGACGCCGCGUGAGCGAAGAAGGCCUUCGGUUGUAAGACUCUGUCUGGAGGGACGAAGGAAGUGACGGUACCUCCGGAGGAAGCCACGGCUAACUACGUGCCAGCAGCCGCGGUAAACGACGAGAGUA